AGAGUUUGAUCAUGGCUCAGGAUGAACGUUGGCGGUGUGCCUAAUACAUGCAAGUCGAACGGAGUCAGUAGCAAUAUUGGCUCAGUGGCGAACGGGUGAGUAACGCGUUGGUGAUCUGCCUCGAAGUGUGGAAUAACGUUUCGAAAGAGACGCUAAUACCGCAUGUGCUCUCGAUUUUCAGAAAGUUGAGAGUAAAGGAUUUAUUCGCUUCAAGAGGAGCCUGCGUCCCAUCAGCUGGUUGGUAGGGUAACGGCCUACCAAGGCUAUGACGGGUAGGGGACCUGAGAGGGUGGCCCCCCACAAUGGAACUGAAACACGGUCCAUACACCUACGGGUGGCAGCAGUAGGGAAUAUUAGAAAUGGACGAAAGUCUGAUCUAGCAACACCGCGUGUGCGAAGAAGGCCUUCGGGUCGUAAAGCACUUUUUGGAAGGAAUAGGAAGGAAUGUACUUCCAGAAUAAGUCUCGGCUAACUACGUGCCAGCAGCCGCGGUAACACGUAGGAGGCAAACGUUAUCCGGAUUUACUGGGCGUAAAGCGCGUGUAGGUGGUACUGUAAGUAGGGCGUGAAAGCUCCUGGCUCAACUGGGAGAGGCCGUUCUAAACUACAGAACUAGAGGAUGGUAGAGGGAGGUGGAAUUCCAGGUGUAGCGGUGGAAUGCGCAGAUAUCUGGAGGAACACCGGUGGCGAAGGCGGCCUCCUGGACCAUUCCUGACACUCAGACGCGAAAGCUAGGGUAGCAAACGGGAUUAGAGACCCCGGUAGUCCUAGCCCUAAACGAUGUAGACUAGGCGUCGGAAGUUUAAUCACUUUCGGUGUCCAAGCUAACGCGAUAAGUCUACCGCCUGGGGACUACGGCCGCAAGGUUAAAACUCAAAGGAAUUGACGG
RNAcentral lists this ribosomal RNA (889 nucleotides) under uncultured bacterium. RNAcentral's name for it is "bacterial SSU rRNA". It matches the Rfam family "Bacterial small subunit ribosomal RNA", at positions 8 to 916 of the family's 1533-position model. The record is from RNAcentral.